Molecule: ribosomal RNA, 446 nt
Filed under: uncultured bacterium
Lineage: Bacteria
Description: partial 16S ribosomal RNA
Rfam family: Bacterial small subunit ribosomal RNA
Source: RNAcentral
CGCCAGACUCCUACGGGAGGCAGCAGUGGGGGAUAUUGCACAAUGGGGGGAACCCUGAUGCAGCGACGCCGCGUGGGUGAAGAAGCGCCUCGGCGCGUAAAGCCCUGUCAGCAGGGAAGAAAAUGACGGUACCUGAAGAAGAAGCCCCGGCUAACUACGUGCCAGCAGCCGCGGUAAUACGUAGGGAGCGAGCGUUGUCCGGAAUUACUGGGUGUAAAGGGAGCGUAGGCGGGGAUGCAAGUUGGGUGUUAAAUCUACCGGCUCAACUGGUAGUCGCACUCAAAACUGCAGCUCUUGAGUGAAGUAGAGGCAGGCGGAAUUCCUAGUGUAGCGGUGAAAUGCGUAGAUAUUAGGAGGAACACCAGUGGCGAAGGCGGCCUGCUGGACGACAACUGACGGUGAGGCGCGAAAGCGUGGGGAGCAAACAGGAUUAGAUACCCGCGUAU